This 691-nucleotide ribosomal RNA is filed under the name uncultured Alphaproteobacteria bacterium. Its description in RNAcentral is "bacterial SSU rRNA". It matches the Rfam family "Bacterial small subunit ribosomal RNA", at positions 10 to 752 of the family's 1533-position model. Lineage: Bacteria; Pseudomonadati; Pseudomonadota; Alphaproteobacteria. The record is from RNAcentral.
AGUUUGAUCAUGGCUCAGAACGAACGCUGGCGGCAGGCCUAACACAUGCAAGUCGAGCGCAUCUUCAGGGUGAGCGGCGGACGGGUGAGUAACGCGUGGGAAUAUGCCCUUCUCUACGGAAUAGCCUCGGGAAACUGAGAGUAAUACCGUAUACGCCUUCGGGGGAAAGAUUUAUCGGAGAAGGAUUAGCCCGCGUUGGAUUAGAUAGUUGGUGGGGUAAUGGCCUACCAAGUCGACGAUCCAUAGCUGGUUUUAGAGGAUGAUCAGCCACACUGGGACUGAGACACGGCCCAGACUCUACGGGAGGCAGCAGUGGGGAAUCUUAGACAAUGGGCGCAAGCCUGAUCUAGCCAUGCCGCGUGAGUGAUGAAGGCCUUAGGGUCGUAAAGCUCUUUCGCCAGGGAUGAUAAUGACAGUACCUGGUAAAGAAACCCCGGCUAACUCCGUGCCAGCAGCCGCGGUAAUACGGAGGGGGUUAGCGUUGUUCGGAAUUACUGGGCGUAAAGCGCGCGUAGGCGGACUAUUAAGUCGGGGGUGAAAUCCCGGGGCUCAACCCCGGAACUGCCCUCGAUACUGGUAGUCUUGAGUUCGAGAGAGGUGAGUGGAAUUCCGAGUGUAGAGGUGAAAUUCGUAGAUAUUCGGAGGAACACCAGUGCGAAGGCGGCUCACUGCUCGAUACUGACGCUGAGGU